Molecule: long non-coding RNA, 520 nt
Organism: Panthera uncia (snow leopard)
Lineage: Eukaryota; Metazoa; Chordata; Mammalia; Carnivora; Felidae
Exons: 3
Source: RefSeq, a predicted model, not a curated record
CUGCACUCAGAACCCCAUUGUGGCCCCUUGAUGGUCAGCCAGCUUCUGGUCACAAGUCAGACUUUUAUGUGCUAAGCCCUUCACUUGUUUCUCACUUGGAUAUUAGUAAUGCUAUAUCUGGAGUGUGGGUAAUAUAUCUUUAAAAGAUUGCAGACUACUAUUUAUGCACAAGUGACCAUGAAAAAAAUUGCAUUGUGUUGUAAUAAAAGAACCCUCUCAACUAGAACUGAAGUGUCGUUUCCACAACACUGAAAGAGAGACUAAACAAAGCAAACUGGAAAAGCUGCUUGGUGUUGUCACCUGAGGAGUCUAGACAGUGACUGCUCUAACGUCAAGAGUGAAGACAACAUGGAGUAGAGCCCCUGGCUGCCCUGUGAUGGACAUAUGAUGUAAAUAUUACUAUUUUUGCUGGAUGGAAAUAUUUGGACAACUUUUGCUUUAUAAGUAAGUAGCAACAAUGGUCAGGAACACCCUCAAGAAUCACAUAUUCUUCAGUGAAUGCAAGUUUUUCCCUUACCUG